RNAcentral lists this unclassified non-coding RNA (264 nucleotides) under fungal sp. RNAcentral's name for it is "partial internal transcribed spacer region". The stretch from base 1 to 45 matches the Rfam family "Eukaryotic small subunit ribosomal RNA", at positions 1787 to 1831 of the family's 1831-position model. The record is from RNAcentral. Lineage: Eukaryota; Fungi.
AGUCGUAACAAGGUAUCCGUAGGUGAACCUGCGGAUGGAUCAUUACCAAAGGAUUAAACCUCCUACACGCACUGUGAACUGUUUUGACUGUAACGGUCAGCGGGCCUUGAGCCGCUUCGGCGCGACCUCAGCCGCUGACUGUACCCUAUAAAAAAAUACACACGUAUAUAUGUUUCCACCUUAGACUGAAUUACUACCUUUAGUGUGUAAUAUUUAUAAACAACAAACUAAAGACAACUUUUAGCAAUGGAUCUCUUGGUUCUC